Molecule: ribosomal RNA, 801 nt
Filed under: uncultured bacterium
Lineage: Bacteria
Description: bacterial SSU rRNA
Rfam family: Bacterial small subunit ribosomal RNA
Source: RNAcentral
AGAGUUUGAUCCUGGCUCAGGACGAACGCUGGCGGCGUGCCUAACACAUGCAAGUCGAACGGAGUUAAGUGCUUCGGUAUUUAACUUAGUGGCGAACGGGUGAGUAACGCGUGAGGAACCUGCCUUUCAGUGGGGGACAACAGUUGGAAACGACUGCUAAUACCGCAUGAUACUUUUUGGAGGCAUCUCUGAAAAGUCAAAGCUUUAUGUGCUGAAAGAUGGUCUCGCGUCUGAUUAGCUAGUUGGUGAGGUAACGGCUCACCAAGGCGACGAUCAGUAGCCGGUCUGAGAGGAUGAACGGCCACAUUGGGACUGAGAUACGGCCCAGACUCCUACGGGAGGCAGCAGUGGGGAAUAUUGGGCAAUGGGGGAAACCCUGACCCAGCAACGCCGCGUGAAGGAAGAAGGCCUUCGGGUUGUAAACUUCUUUUACCAGGGACGAAGAACGUGACGGUACCUGGAGAAAAAGCAACGGCUAACUACGUGCCAGCAGCCGCGGUAAUACGUAGGUGGCAAGCGUUGUCCGGAUUUACUGGGUGUAAAGGGCGUGUAGGCGGAGCUGCAAGUCAGAUGUGAAAUCUAGGGGCUCAACCCCUAAACUGCAUUUGAAACUGUAGCCCUUGAGUAUCGGAGAGGCAAGCGGAAUUCCUAGUGUAGCGGUGAAAGGCGUAGAUAUCGAGAGGAACACUCGUGGCGAAGGCGGGUUCCUGGACAUUAACUGACGCUGAGGCACGAAGGCCAGGGGAGCGAAAGGGAUUAGAUACCCCUGUAGUCCUGGCAGUAAACGGUGCACGCUUGGUG